Molecule: unclassified non-coding RNA, 421 nt
Filed under: Hevea brasiliensis (rubber tree)
Lineage: Eukaryota; Viridiplantae; Streptophyta; Magnoliopsida; Malpighiales; Euphorbiaceae
Source: RNAcentral
UGCAAUCAAGGGUCAAAAAGACCAAGUCUAAAGGUAUAAAACUACAAAUGCCAUUGUAUGGCCAUUUUUUCAACAUAAUGUACACUUGAAGAACACUCUGUGACUCCUCAUUUCCAUACAAAGACUUAUUUCUGAAGAAUGAUAGCAUGAGAACACAAGACACUUCAGAUUUUGUCGUACCGACCCAAAGCAAGAUCAAUAGAAGUGCUUGAGGCAUUUCAUCAAUGCCUCGGUGUGCUCGGGCUUGCCUACAGAGACACGGACAUAUCCCUUCAACUCCUUGCUGUUGUAGUGACGGAUCAUCACUCCCAUAGUCGCAAGGUCUUCCUUCAAUUUCUUAGCAUCCAUUCCAGACGUAACUUUACAGAGAAUGAAAUUAGAAUAGCUAGGGUAUGGAUCAAGAAACGGGACUUCUUUCAAG